RNAcentral lists this ribosomal RNA (440 nucleotides) under uncultured bacterium. RNAcentral's name for it is "partial 16S ribosomal RNA". It matches the Rfam family "Bacterial small subunit ribosomal RNA", at positions 338 to 795 of the family's 1533-position model. The record is from RNAcentral.
CCUACGGGAGACAGCAGUGGGGAAUAUUGCACAAUGGGGGAAACCCUGAUGCAGCGACGCCGCGUGAAGGAAGCAGUAUUUCGGUAUGUAAACUUCUAUCAGCAGGGAAGAAAAUGACGGUACCUGACUAAGAAGCCCCGGCUAACUACGGGCCAGCAGCCGCGGUAAUACGUAGGGGGCAAGCGUUAUCCGGAUUUACUGGGUGGAAAGGGAGCGUAGGCGGUGAUGCAAGUCAGAAGGGAAAGCCCGCAGCUCAACUGCGGGAAUGCUUUUUAAACUGUAUGACUAGAUUGCAGGUGAGGGAAGUGGAAUUCCUAGUGUAGGCGGGAAAAGCGGAGAUAUUAGGAGGAACACCAGUGGCGAAGGCGGCUUACUGGACUGUAAAUGACGCUGAGGCUCGAAAGCGUGGGGAGCAAACAGGAUUAGAUACCCGGGUAGUC